AUUAUACAGUUUAUUUUUAUGGUUCCAUAGUAUUGUUUUCUCCAAGAAGCAGGGCAAAUUAAAAAUAAAAACAUAAUUUUUUUUAUAACUACACAGAAACCUGUACAUUUUUUAAAAAAUUAUCUUUGUUUAUUUUGUUUAUUAGGACAAAUUAUUGGAUUCCAGCACAGUGACUCACUUAUUCAAGAUAACUGAAAACAUUGGUUGUGUGAUGACCGGAAUGACAGCUGACAGCAGAUCCCAGGUACAGAGGGCACGCUAUGAGGCAGCUAACUGGAAAUACAAGUAUGGCUAUGAGAUUCCUGUGGACAUGCU
This 315-nucleotide small RNA is filed under the name Pongo abelii (Sumatran orangutan). Its description in RNAcentral is "retained intron". Lineage: Eukaryota; Metazoa; Chordata; Mammalia; Primates; Hominidae. The record is from RNAcentral.